AUUCCUCCAACCCAUUUAAAGCAUAAAGAUACUUGCAAGAGUGAUUAUGGAAAAACAGGUUUAUGCACGGCAUUCUUGCAGGACAAAAUACUUGGCACAUGUGAACACCUUAUUAACGGAUGUGCAAAAGACAUUCAUUCAAACCACUCAUUUUGCAUGGCUAUUGUCCAUUGACACGAAUAUCAAAAUGUGUAGGAAGCUAGUUUUACAAUUGUGUAAUACAUGGUUAGAGAGGAGGGGUGGGUUUGAAGUUAGGUCUAUCUUUAUUCCAUUCACCAAAUUAGAUGUUUGCUUAGGUUUAGGGGUUAGGGUUAAUGGAGAGAUGUUUAAGUUGUUCAAAGAGGAAGUUGAUUGUCAUACUAGGAGACUCUUUGGCACAAAUGAUGUAAGUGUAGAUAAUGUUUAUGAACAACUUCAAAACUGUAUAAAAGGGGGUGAAGUGGCUGAUGUUUGUAGGUUAUAUUUAUUGUUAGGCUUGAGUGAGUUUUUGUUUCCAAAUAGAGGUGGAAAAGUUCAUUUAGGUUUAUUUGAAAAUUAUUAGAUGAUUUAUCAUGUAUUGGAAAGUAUAAUUGGGGGGUGUUAUUUAUGAGUAUUUGGUUUCUAGUUUGUGUGAUGCUGCAUUGCGUGUAGGGAACACACAAAAAAGAUCACACUGUCAUGUGGAUGGUUGUAUAUUUGCAUUACAGGUACGUUUUGAUGUUAGUUACAAAAUAUAUUGUAAU
Molecule: long non-coding RNA, 722 nt
Organism: Vigna radiata var. radiata (mung bean)
Lineage: Eukaryota; Viridiplantae; Streptophyta; Magnoliopsida; Fabales; Fabaceae
Exons: 3
Source: RefSeq, a predicted model, not a curated record